UUGGGGCUUGGUAUACAUGGGAUCGGAUUCUUCAAACAAGUUUGGAAGAUAAAGCCUUGUGUAGAUUUAUCACAUUUUCUCUCUCUAUUUCGACCCUAGAUUUAUAGGUGGAGAUAUUUAUCUUCAAAAAAAAAACGAAAAAAGAAAGAAAAAGAAAAAAAUAUAUAUAAUAGGUGUUAGUUAGGUGGAAUCUGAACAGGACUUGGUGGCUACAACCAUUAAGGCUUGCUUCAUAAAGAUUCCAACAAAAAGAAUUCGAACGGGACUUGCUG
This 272-nucleotide long non-coding RNA is filed under the name Brassica napus (rape). RNAcentral describes it as "long non-coding RNA (BNAP_LNC005890)". The record is from RNAcentral. Lineage: Eukaryota; Viridiplantae; Streptophyta; Magnoliopsida; Brassicales; Brassicaceae.